AAGGAUUCCCCUAGUACGGGCGACGGAAGCGGGAUAAGCCCACAUUGGUAAUCUCCGGGCGGCAGCUCGGCGAAUUGUAAUCUGAAGAUAGCUAGUCUAAUUGGACCGGACGCCGAAGUGCGCACGAGCGCGCCGCCAUAGAGGGUGAGAGCCCCGUAUGGUGUCGGGUCCUACAAGGGCUGGUUGUCCAAGAGUCGUGUACUUUGAUACUAGUGCACUAAGCGGGAGAUAAACUUCUUCUAAGGCUAAAUACAAGUAGGAAACCGAUAGCGAACAAGUACUGUGAAGGAAAGAUGAAAAGCACUUUGGAAAGAAAGUUAAAAGACUUGAAAUCGUUGAGGCGGACCCGGUAGAAAUGUAUUCUAGCGAAGCGCCCUGGGAAGCCUAUAUUUGGGCCACUCGGGCGUUAGCCGAGACAAGAUGGAGUCGCCCGAUGCCAGAGGCCGUGCGCGAGGCUGCUUGCAGCAGCGCGUGCUGGCCGGGUGUCGGGCGGCUUGAGGGGCCUUGCGCGAUCUUGUCAAAAUGGUUUUUACCGACUCGUCUUGAAACACGAACCAAGGAGUCUAAGACUAACGCGAGUGUGGUGGUGGAAAAACCAACACGCGAAAUGAAAGUAAUUGAUGCCAAGCUCCCUGCAGCAUCGACCGACCACUUUCUUCUGGGAGAGGUUUGAGUAAGAGCGUUAUUCUUAGGACCCGAAAGAUGGUGAAACUAU
RNAcentral lists this ribosomal RNA (715 nucleotides) under Stenosemella pacifica. Its description in RNAcentral is "LSU rRNA". It matches the Rfam family "Eukaryotic large subunit ribosomal RNA", at positions 70 to 834 of the family's 3401-position model. The record is from RNAcentral. Lineage: Eukaryota; Ciliophora; Spirotrichea; Tintinnida; Codonellopsidae.